Molecule: ribosomal RNA, 751 nt
Filed under: Streptomyces misionensis
Lineage: Bacteria; Bacillati; Actinomycetota; Actinomycetes; Kitasatosporales; Streptomycetaceae
Description: bacterial SSU rRNA
Rfam family: Bacterial small subunit ribosomal RNA
Source: RNAcentral
GCCCUGGAAACGGGGUCUAAUACCGGAUAUGACCGUCUUGGGCAUCCUUGACGGUGUAAAGCUCCGGCGGUGCAGGAUGAGCCCGCGGCCUAUCAGCUUGUUGGUGAGGUAGUGGCUCACCAAGGCGACGACGGGUAGCCGGCCUGAGAGGGCGACCGGCCACACUGGGACUGAGACACGGCCCAGACUCCUACGGGAGGCAGCAGUGGGGAAUAUUGCACAAUGGGCGAAAGCCUGAUGCAGCGACGCCGCGUGAGGGAUGACGGCCUUCGGGUUGUAAACCUCUUUCAGCAGGGAAGAAGCGAGAGUGACGGUACCUGCAGAAGAAGCGCCGGCUAACUACGUGCCAGCAGCCGCGGUAAUACGUAGGGCGCAAGCGUUGUCCGGAAUUAUUGGGCGUAAAGAGCUCGUAGGCGGCUUGUCACGUCGGUUGUGAAAGCCCGGGGCUUAACCCCGGGUCUGCAGUCGAUACGGGCAGGCUAGAGUUCGGUAGGGGAGAUCGGAAUUCCUGGUGUAGCGGUGAAAUGCGCAGAUAUCAGGAGGAACACCGGUGGCGAAGGCGGAUCUCUGGGCCGAUACUGACGCUGAGGAGCGAAAGCGUGGGGAGCGAACAGGAUUAGAUACCCUGGUAGUCCACGCCGUAAACGGUGGGCACUAGGUGUGGGCAACAUUCCACGUUGUCCGUGCCGCAGCUAACGCAUUAAGUGCCCCGCCUGGGGAGUACGGCCGCAAGGCUAAAACUCAAAGGAAU